Molecule: ribosomal RNA, 253 nt
Filed under: uncultured bacterium
Lineage: Bacteria
Description: partial 16S ribosomal RNA
Rfam family: Bacterial small subunit ribosomal RNA
Source: RNAcentral
UACGAAGGGGGCUAGCGUUGCUCGGAAUUACUGGGCGUAAAGCGCACGCAGGCGGCUUUCUAAGUCGGGGGUGAAAUCCUGGAGCUCAACUCCAGAACUGCCUUCGAUACUGGAAAGCUCGAGUCCGGGAGAGGUGAGUGGAACUGCGAGUGUAGAGGUGGAAUUCGUAGAUAUUCGCAAGAACACCAGUGGCGAAGGCGGCUCACUGGCCCGGUACUGACGCUGAGGUGCGAAAGCGUGGGGAGCAAACAGG